AUUUUCUAGAAAUUUUAAGGAUUUGGCGGUGAUUUAAACUUAUUAGAGGAACCUGCUUUUUUAAUUGAUAUACCACGCUAAAAUCUUACUUAUUUUUAAAGUUUGUAUACCAUCAUUAAAGAUAAUUUUGAAAAAAAGAAUUAUUAAAGUUAAUAUUAUUAUUAAAUAAAUUAGAUCAAGGUGCAGCUUAUGAAUAAGNUUAAAUGGGUNACAAUAAUUUUUUUUUA
RNAcentral lists this ribosomal RNA (227 nucleotides) under Oziotelphusa senex. RNAcentral's name for it is "partial 12S ribosomal RNA". The record is from RNAcentral. Lineage: Eukaryota; Metazoa; Arthropoda; Malacostraca; Decapoda; Parathelphusidae.